Long non-coding RNA from Triticum dicoccoides, 208 nucleotides. RefSeq lists it as uncharacterized. NCBI's taxonomy places the organism in Eukaryota, Viridiplantae, Streptophyta, Magnoliopsida, Poales, Poaceae. The transcript is spliced from 3 exons. The record is from RefSeq and is a predicted model, not a curated record.
CUUGCGCUGGAACAGCAAAGGGAAGGCCAUGGACGACGCCGCUCCAGCCCUUCUCCGACGCCAUCAAGCAGUAGCAGCAACUCGAUGCAGGGACGAGGGAGAGGAGGAGUCCUGCUUCCCCGGCGUGCAUCCUCUCUCUCGGAACGACACCCAACCUCAAGCGAGAGCAGGCAUCCUCCGUGGAUGAUGACGACAACCAGGGCAUCCA